This 427-nucleotide long non-coding RNA is filed under the name Setaria viridis. RNAcentral describes it as "long non-coding RNA (SVIR_LNC007140)". The record is from RNAcentral. Lineage: Eukaryota; Viridiplantae; Streptophyta; Magnoliopsida; Poales; Poaceae.
GUUUUGUCAUAAAUUGAAUUAGGCCCGGUUCUUGUUGGACCAAGCUCAAUAAUUGAUGUCGUCAUAAAUUGAUUUAGGCCCAACUUGUUGUGCUGAGCCCAAUAAUUGUUAUCAUCAUAGAUUGAUUUAGGCUCAAUUCUUCUUGGAUCGAGCCCAAUAAUUGCUGAUGUUAUAACUUGGUUUAGGCCCAAUUCUUGUUGGAUCAAACGCAACAUGUGUUGACGUCAUAACUUUGUUUAGGCCCACGAAAUAAUGGACCGAGGGGGUGAGCUCAUGAAAUUUGGGGUCCAGUUAUUUUCGGGUGUAGCUCAGGUAGCACUUAAUUAAAAUAUAAUCUAAUUUAGUAUUACAUACAAAUCAAUUCGGUAAUUGACAACACACUUAAUCUUUACAUACCACACAUACAAAUAAAUAUUUCUCAUCACAC